This 522-nucleotide ribosomal RNA is filed under the name Ectopseudomonas mendocina. RNAcentral describes it as "bacterial SSU rRNA". It matches the Rfam family "Bacterial small subunit ribosomal RNA", at positions 1 to 522 of the family's 1533-position model. The record is from RNAcentral. Lineage: Bacteria; Pseudomonadati; Pseudomonadota; Gammaproteobacteria; Pseudomonadales; Pseudomonadaceae.
UGGAGAGUUUGAUCCUGGCUCAGAUUGAACGCUGGCGGCAGGCCUAACACAUGCAAGUCGAGCGGAUGAUGGGAGCUUGCUCCUUGAUUUAGCGGCGGACGGGUGAGUAAUGCCUAGGAAUCUGCCUGGUAGUGGGGGAUAACGUUCCGAAAGGAACGCUAAUACCGCGUACGUCCUACGGGAGAAAGCAGGGGACCUUCGGGCCUUGCGCUAUCAGAUGAGCCUAGGUCGGAUUAGCUAGUUGGUGAGGUAAUGGCUCACCAAGGCGACGAUCCGUAACUGGUCUGAGAGGAUGAUCAGUCACACUGGAACUGAGACACGGUCCAGACUCCUACGGGAGGCAGCAGUGGGGAAUAUUGGACAAUGGGCGAAAGCCUGAUCCAGCCAUGCCGCGUGUGUGAAGAAGGUCUUCGGAUUGUAAAGCACUUUAAGUUGGGAGGAAGGGCAGUAAGUUAAUACCUUGCUGUUUUGACGUUACCGACAGAAUAAGCACCGGCUAACUUCGUGCCAGCAGCCGCGGUA